RNAcentral lists this long non-coding RNA (479 nucleotides) under Chinchilla lanigera (long-tailed chinchilla). Its description in RNAcentral is "lncRNA (ENSCLAG00000029290.1)". The record is from RNAcentral. Lineage: Eukaryota; Metazoa; Chordata; Mammalia; Rodentia; Chinchillidae.
CAUUUCUUACAGUGAAAAUCAGGGGAGCGUACUCUUUCUCACGUGAGGCUGAACGCUGCCUCGUGGCGGGAGGGCAUCACAGUCCUGCAGGUGCUCCGGAACCAGUCAGUGCCAAGGGCCUGUGAGCCGCGGCGUGGAUCCCCUCGGUCCCAGCCCCAGUGUGUCCCAGAGCCCGGGGGGCAGAGGAGAGAACAUUGCAUCUCAGCCCUCAGCUCCUCAGAGAAGCUUCCCUCAUCACCCAGGAGGCGGCAAACAGCAAAGACCCACAAAUCCCACCACCUGCUGGUGAUAGCACCAUGGUCACCGUUCUGGGAGACGCAGGACACCAGGUUGUGAGGACACCAAGCAGCCCCAUGGAAGGCUCCACCGGCCCUGCCCGCUGAUCACCAGCACCACCUCAUCAGCCAGGUGAGCGAACAUUCUAGGCAGUGGGGUCCCCCACCCCAGGUCAGCCUUGGCCACAGCCCCAGCCUCUGUCU